GUGAGACAGGUGCUGCAUGGCUGUCGUCAGCUCGUGUUGUGAAAUGUUGGGUUAAGUCCCGCAACGAGCGCAACCCUUAUCCUUUGUUGCCAGCGGUCCGGCCGGGAACUCAAAGGAGACUGCCAGUGAUAAACUGGAGGAAGGUGGGGAUGACGUCAAGUCAUCAUGGCCCUUACGACCAGGGCUACACACGUGCUACAAUGGCGCAUACAAAGAGAAGCGACCUCGCGAGAGCAAGCGGACCUCAUAAAGUGCGUCGUAGUCCGGAUUGGAGUCUGCAACUCGACUCCAUGAAGUCGGAAUCGCUAGUAAUCGUGGAUCAGAAUGCCACGGUGAAUACGUUCCCGGGCCUUGUACACACCGCCCGUCACACCAUGGGAGUGGGUUGCAAAAGAAGUAGGUAGCUUAACCUUCGGGAG
This 419-nucleotide ribosomal RNA is filed under the name Escherichia coli. RNAcentral's name for it is "bacterial SSU rRNA". It matches the Rfam family "Bacterial small subunit ribosomal RNA", at positions 1029 to 1448 of the family's 1533-position model. Lineage: Bacteria; Pseudomonadati; Pseudomonadota; Gammaproteobacteria; Enterobacterales; Enterobacteriaceae. The record is from RNAcentral.